ACUCCUACGGGAGGCAGCAGUGGGGAAUAUUGGACAAUGGGCGCAAGCCUGAUCCAGCCAUGCCGCGUGAGUGAUGAAGGCCCUAGGGUUGUAAAGCUCUUUCACCGGUGAAGGUAAUGACGGUAACCGGAGAAGAAGCCCCGGCUAACUUCGUGCCAGCAGCCGCGGUAAUACGAAGGGGGCUAGCGUUGUUCGGAUUUACUGGGCGUAAAGCGCACGUAGGCGGACUAUUAAGUCAGGGGUGAAAUCCCGGGGCUCAACCCCGGAACUGCCUUUGAUACUGGUAGUCUUGAGUUCGAGAGAGGUGAGUGGAAUUCCGAGUGUAGAGGUGAAAUUCGUAGAUAUUCGGAGGAACACCAGUGGCGAAGGCGGCUCACUGGCUCGAUACUGACGCUGAGGUGCGAAAGCGUGGGGAGCAAACAGGAUUAGAAACCCCUGUAGUCCCAUG
This 448-nucleotide ribosomal RNA is filed under the name uncultured organism. Its description in RNAcentral is "partial 16S ribosomal RNA". It matches the Rfam family "Bacterial small subunit ribosomal RNA", at positions 335 to 799 of the family's 1533-position model. The record is from RNAcentral.